UACGGAGGGGGCUAGCGUUGUUCGGAAUUACUGGGCGUAAAGCGCACGUAGGCGGUUUUGUAAGUUAGAGGUGAAAGCCCGGAGCUCAACUUCGGAAUUGCCUUUAAGACUGCAUCACUUGAACGGCGGAGAGGUGAGUGGAAUUCCGAGUGUAGAGGUGAAAUUCGUAGAUAUUCGGAAGAACACCAGUGGCGAAGGCGGCUCACUGGACGCCUGUUGACGCUGAGGUGCGAAAGCGUGGGGAGCAAACAGG
This 253-nucleotide ribosomal RNA is filed under the name uncultured bacterium. RNAcentral's name for it is "partial 16S ribosomal RNA". It matches the Rfam family "Bacterial small subunit ribosomal RNA", at positions 524 to 776 of the family's 1533-position model. The record is from RNAcentral.